ACCGGAUAUGCUGGAACUCCAGUACGAGCUGGAGUCCAAGGCAGCGAAGUGGUAUGCCACUAUUGAUAUUGCUAAUGCGUUUUUCUCCAUUCCUCUGGCAGCAGAAUGCAGGCCUCAGUUUGCUUUCACCUGGAGGGGCGUGCAGUACACCUGGAACCGACUGCCCCAGGGGUGGAAACACAGUCCCACUAUCUGCCAUGGACUGAUCCAGACUGCACUAGAAAAGGGUGAGGCUCCAGAACACCUGCAGUACAUCGAUGACAUCAUUGUGUGGGGGAACACAGCGGCAGAAGUGUUUGAGAAAGGAACAAUGACACUGCCCGGAAGACAAUGUCCUGCUAAUGGGCUAUAUAAUGUCCUGGCUUGUAAAAUAAGCAUGUAUUCUUUUUUGCCAUCUGUUGGGGGUUAGGCAGUUUUUCUUAUCUCUUUCAAGAACAAUGACACUGCCAGGAAGACAAUGUCCUGCUAAUGGGCUAUUGAAUCACUCACUGUGGCUGGUAAGAUUAGUUACAUCAUCCCAUUGGGAGAUGCUCCACCCAGAGGGAGGAGCCAAGCAUCCCUGCCACCAUAAAACAAGCACUUCUGAGACCACAGACAGCCUUCUUCGCUGGAUUUCCGAGAGGAAUCAGGAACCGAGGCCCAGCUGCUCCUUCGCCGCAUUUUCGGAAGGGAUCUACACCCUUCUGCAGAUCGCCGCUCCAGGAGGAGCAGCCACCUUUUGGCUGGACUGCUAUCAGCACCCUGACUUCUCAGGGUGUCAGGUUUUUUCUCACUUUGCCAGUGGUUGUUUUGCUUGUACUAAAUUACAUUGUUAUUUAGUUUUUUUCUUCCUAGUAAAGAACUGUUAUUCCCGUUCCCAUA
Molecule: long non-coding RNA, 861 nt
Organism: Passer domesticus (house sparrow)
Lineage: Eukaryota; Metazoa; Chordata; Aves; Passeriformes; Passeridae
Exons: 2
Source: RefSeq, a predicted model, not a curated record